Molecule: non-coding RNA, 1672 nt
Organism: Lactuca sativa (garden lettuce)
Lineage: Eukaryota; Viridiplantae; Streptophyta; Magnoliopsida; Asterales; Asteraceae
Source: RefSeq, a predicted model, not a curated record
UCCAAGGGAUUUAUAUACAGAAAAAGAGAACAAAAUACUCUUUUUGGUCUCUCCCCGAAGAUCCCAGAAACCCUAACCCUAGCCGCUCCAACUGCUAGAAACGAUACGAAAGAAUGGCGGAGCACUUGGCUUCCAUAUUUGGUACGGAAAAGGACCGAGUCAACUGUCCUUUUUACUUCAAGAUCGGAGCCUGUCGCCAUGGAGAUCGAUGCUCAAGGCUCCAUACCAAACCCAGCAUCAGCCCUACCCUAUUGCUUUCCAACAUGUACCAACGCCCCGAUAUGAUCACUCCAGGUGUUGAUCCUCAGGGUCAGCCCCUUGAUCCUAGCAAAAUCCAGGAUCACUUCGAGGAUUUUUAUGAAGAUCUGUUUGAAGAGCUUGGCAAAUACGGAGAGAUUGAAAGCCUAAACAUUUGUGAUAAUUUGGCUGACCAUAUGGUUGGAAAUGUGUAUGCACAGUUCAGGGAAGAAGAACAUGCUGCAGCUGCUCUCCAAAAUCUGAGUGGAAGGUUUUAUGCAGGUCGUCCCAUUAUCGUUGACUUUUCUCCAGUGACAGAUUUCCGUGAAGCAACUUGCAGACAAUAUGAAGAAAACGUAUGCAAUCGUGGUGGUUAUUGCAACUUCAUGCAUCUAAAAAAGAUCAACAAAGAUUUGAGGAGGCAGUUAUUCGGGAGGCGUAGGAGGAGCCGAAGCAGAAGCCGUAGUCCUCCGAGACACCGGAAUCAUGAUGACCGCCCACAAGGCGGUGGCGGUGGUGGUGGUGGUGGACGUGGGUAUGGGAGAAGAGGUGGUGGUGGUUACUCUGAUCACCGGAGCAAUGACAGGGGGAGGCGGCCGAGGAGUAGGAGUCCGGGGAGGAGAGGGGGGAGGAGCAGAAGUCCAGGAGGGAAGAGAAACCGGAGUCCGGUCAGGGAAGGGAGUGCUGAAAGAAGGGCAAAGAUUGAACAAUGGAAUAGAGAAAAAGAACAGGCGAAAUCUGGAACUAAUAAUGCUUCAAAUGUUAAUGAAAAUAAUGAAGGUGGUAAUACUAAUGAUGAUGGUGGUUUACAAAAUGGAGAAAAUUACCGUGAUGCCCCUCAGCCGAAGCAGCAAGAUGAUGGAAAUUAUGAUUACUGAUUGAUCAUCGCCGAAUCGUCUGGUUUGUUUUCUGUUUCUUGAUCUUGGAUUCUUGGUUUUAUACAAUUUGGUUUGUUUAAGAUAAAUGAGAGUUUAAAUUGAUUUGGGAGAAAUUAGAGGAGAUAAUUAGAAGUUUAUUAAAAAAAACUUUUUUUUAAGAAAAAAAAGGAAUCCCACUUGGAAGAUAUGGCUUACUGCCUGCUUUCCAUGUGCAGGAGUACAGGUUGACCGGUCAAAUCUAUUUUCUACUUUUGUUGACCUAUAAUGGUUUGUGAAGAAUGGUUCAGGGAAGGUGCUUAUUUUGUGCAGUUUAUCAUUAUAUUUGUAUACAGGUCAUCUUCAUCAAUGUUACUGUUGAGGAAGUAAAGGUGAUCAGAAGUUCAUUUAUGGUUGAUUUGUGAAGAACAGCUGGUGAAGUAGGAAAUCUGAUGUUAGGGAAAAGUCAAUUUCAAUGUUUUUGUAUGUUUUUGUUUCAUUUCAUUUGACAAUUUUUGGUUUGUAUUUGUAUGAAAGAUUGAGAAGUUCAAAUGGAGUUUUCUGGGAUAUUUCUGAUUCAA